Long non-coding RNA from Wasmannia auropunctata (little fire ant), 970 nucleotides. RefSeq lists it as uncharacterized. Lineage: Eukaryota; Metazoa; Arthropoda; Insecta; Hymenoptera; Formicidae. The transcript has 2 exons. The record is from RefSeq and is a predicted model, not a curated record.
CCAUUCAAAUUACGAUCUACAACGGAACUUUGCGACGAAAUCACCGUGCAAUUACGGUAAACACGCCAAACAUUCGAGCUAAGUACUGACUCUGAAGUUUUUCUGAAUGGCGAAAGAAAUGCGCUUGAAAUCGUCAGUGUCAUCGGGUUAUCAAGUCUGUGUCCGUCAGUGUUUAAGCCGGCUUAAACACCGUGCGAGUUGUUAGUCAUGUUAGUUGAGAAAGAUGCGCACAUUUUACACGAUUCUCGUGCUCGUGAUCCUCUCCGCGAGCCUCGGCGAGUGUUGGUCCUUCUCGAACGUGGCGAAAUCUAUCGACAAAUUGCUACGGCCACAAAACAACACCUCGCAAGUUUCAAACUCUAAGGAGAAUGACGGCGCUACGUCGACGGCAUCCCCGGAAAUCACGGUAGAAGGCAGGAUAAUAUUCGUACCACGAAGGAACAUAGUCUCCUGUGCACCGGGUCAGCAAGUCGAUCGGCGUGGCAAGUGUAGGACAGUGUGGUGAAACUCGACAAAUAAUACGCACAAGAACCUUUAUAGAUAGUCGAACCACUCCUGACCAUGAAAGAAGACAUCCCCGGAAGGAAACAAGAGGAUUAACAGGAUUAAGAAAUAAGAAUAUUAUUCUAAUCAAAAAUAAUUAAUGCGACUUUAUGAAGAGUUAAUUGUACCUAAUUAAUAUGUGUAAGAUAUAUGUAAGUUAAUGUACAGUUCAUCAAAUCAAUCGGCAAUCAUGAAUUGCGUUCAAAAUGCAAUUAAGAUGUAAAGACUACGAACUAAAUUAUCUUCCCGCACAUAUAUUUAUCCCCACAAACGCAAGAAAUCGGUUAGGAUUUUCUAUUAUAGUGUGCAAUAAUUAAAACCGAAGUAAGAGAAUAUAUUAUAGAGUAUUAAAUUUUUAUCGAUAUACUUAAUGUUAAAGAACAAAUAGAGUAUUUUAUCGUCCGUAAAAUAAAUCGAAUUAAAUAUA